UUGGAGGGCAAGUCUGGUGCCAGCAGCCGCGGUAAUUCCAGCUCCAAUAGCGUAUAUUAAAGUUGUUGCAGUUAAAAAGCUCGUAGUUGAAUUUCGGGAUCAAUGUUUCGGUCAUGCCGUUGGUAUGUACUGAUAUUAUUGAUUUCUCACCUUCUAAAGAACUGUAAUGCCAUUAAUUUGGUGUCACGGGGAAUUAGGACUGUUACCUUGAAAAAAUUAGAGUGUUUAAAGCAGGCUCACGCUUGAAUACAUUAGCAUGGAAUAAUGAAAUAGGACAUCCGAUUCUAUUUUGUUGGUUUCUAGGAUCGAUGUAAUGAUUAAUAGGGAUAGUUGGGGGCAUUAGUAUUCAAUUGUCAGAGGUGAAAUUCUUGGAUUUAUUGAAGACUAACUACUGCGAAAGCAUUUGCCAAGGAUGUUUUCAUUAAUCAAGAACGAAAGUUAGGGGAUCGAAGACGAUCAGAUACCGUCGUAGUCUUAACCAUAAACUAUGCCGACUAGGGAUCGGAUGAUGUUAAUUUUUUAAUGACUCAUUCGGCGCCUUACGGGAAAC
Molecule: ribosomal RNA, 550 nt
Filed under: uncultured Funneliformis
Lineage: Eukaryota; Fungi; Glomeromycota; Glomeromycetes; Glomerales; Glomeraceae
Description: SSU rRNA
Rfam family: Eukaryotic small subunit ribosomal RNA
Source: RNAcentral